This 488-nucleotide ribosomal RNA is filed under the name uncultured bacterium. RNAcentral's name for it is "bacterial SSU rRNA". It matches the Rfam family "Bacterial small subunit ribosomal RNA", at positions 29 to 524 of the family's 1533-position model. The record is from RNAcentral.
AAUGAACGCUGGCGGCGCGCCUAAUACAUGCAAGUCGAGCGAGAAGACGUAGCAAUACGUUUGUAAAGCGGCGAACGGGUGAGGAAUACAUGGGUAACCUACCCUCGAGUGGGGAAUAACUAGCCGAAAGGUUAGCUAAUACCGCGUACGCUUCUUGGACUUCGGUUCAGGGAGGAAAGCGAUACCGUGGGUAUCGCGCUCUUGGAUGGGCUCAUGUCCUAUCAGCUUGUUGGUGAGGUAACGGCUCACCAAGGCGACGACGGGUAGCUGGUCUGAGAGGAUGGCCAGCCACAUUGGGACUGAGACACGGCCCAGACUCCUACGGGAGGCAGCAGUGGGGAAUCUUGGACAAUGGGCGCAAGCCUGAUCCAGCCAUGCCGCGUGAGUGAAGAAGGCCUUAGGGUUGUAAAGCUCUUUUUACCAGGGACGAUAAUGACGGUACCUGGAGAAUAAGCCCCGGCAAACUUCGUGCCAGCCGCCGCGGUAAC